UUUCUGGUGGGACACUCAUUAGUGGCGCACGCUAGGUGUUCUCUUGGCGCGUUUGUUGUGUUGCUGGCAUUUUAAACUAAUAAAUGUUGACUGCUUUGAAAGUCAGAGAAUGGAGGUACAGUAUGAUCACGGCCUGCGUCUGGAUGGAGAGUGAACUUCUGAAUCUGAAUCCAGCAAAUGCUCCCUGACCUUAGUUCAUGUUUCCUGUUUGGUUAUUUUUUUGGGAACCGAUUCCUCAGGAACUGAUUGUCCAGCCCGUGACGUAGACACUGAUCAUCAUGAAGAAUCAGGUCUUUUUAUUAGCUUUGCAGUUUAAAUCUUGCUUAGAAAUGUCUUGGCAAAAUCAUUUUUUUCAGUGCCAUUCAUCAUACUGUAUGUACAUAUAAUCAUGUCCACAAAAAUGUUUGUAUUUAU
This is a long non-coding RNA of Megalobrama amblycephala (Wuchang bream), 414 nucleotides long. RefSeq lists it as uncharacterized. The transcript is spliced from 3 exons. NCBI's taxonomy places the organism in Eukaryota, Metazoa, Chordata, Actinopteri, Cypriniformes, Xenocyprididae. The record is from RefSeq and is a predicted model, not a curated record.